RNAcentral lists this small nucleolar RNA (133 nucleotides) under Castor canadensis (American beaver). RNAcentral describes it as "Small nucleolar RNA SNORA42/SNORA80 family (ENSCCNG00000030431.1)". It matches the Rfam family "Small nucleolar RNA SNORA42/SNORA80 family". From Rfam's summary of the family: The members of this family belong to the H/ACA class of snoRNAs that guide the sites of modification of uridines to pseudouridines. Human ACA42 (SNORA42) was cloned from HeLa cells by immunoprecipitation with anti-GAR1 antibody. Lineage: Eukaryota; Metazoa; Chordata; Mammalia; Rodentia; Castoridae. The record is from Rfam by way of RNAcentral.
GCAUGGGUUUGGAUUUAUGGCAGGCCUGUCCCCCUGGACUACUCAUAGUGUCCCAUGCCAAGCAAACUGUAGCUCUGAAGCAUAUUCUGGCCUCUGUUUGUAGAUUGCUGGCACUGAAGUGGGUUUCACAGUG